CGUAGGGUGCGUAGCGUUAAUCGGAAUUACUGGGCGUAAAGCGUGCGCAGGCGGUUUUGUAAGACAGAUGUGAAAUCCCCGGGCUCAACCUGGGACCUGCAUUUGUGACUGCAAGGCUAGAGUACGGUAGAGGGGGAUGGAAUUCCGCGUGUAGCAGUGAAAUGCGUAGAUAUGCGGAGGAACACCGAUGGCGAAGGCAAUCCCCUGGACCUGUACUGACGCUCAUGCACGAAAGCGUGGGGAGCAAACAGGAUUAGAUACCCUGGUAGUCCACGCCCUAAACGAUGUCAACUGGUUGUUGGGUCUUUACUGACUCAGUAACGAAGCUAACGCGUGAAGUUGACCGCCUGGGGAGUACGGCCGCAAGGUUG
Molecule: ribosomal RNA, 371 nt
Filed under: uncultured organism
Description: bacterial SSU rRNA
Rfam family: Bacterial small subunit ribosomal RNA
Source: RNAcentral